Molecule: non-coding RNA, 74 nt
Organism: Candidatus Parvarchaeum acidophilus ARMAN-5
Lineage: Archaea; Nanobdellati; Candidatus Parvarchaeota
Source: Rfam
GGGCUCGUAGCUUAACUCGGUAGAGCAUCCGGCUCUUAACCGGAUUGUUGCGGGUUCAAAUCCCGUCGAGCCCA